This is a long non-coding RNA of Haliotis rubra (blacklip abalone), 504 nucleotides long. RefSeq lists it as uncharacterized. The record is from RefSeq and is a predicted model, not a curated record. The transcript has 2 exons. Lineage: Eukaryota; Metazoa; Mollusca; Gastropoda; Lepetellida; Haliotidae.
GGUACAAUGUGUGAAGCCUAUUUCAGGUGUCCCCCGCUGUGUUGUUGCUGGAAUAUUGCUAAAAGCGGCGUAAAACUAAAACUCAGUCAGUCAGUCAGUCUUUGUAAAGUACAGAUUGGUGAUUGACAUAUCUUGGAUCAGAUGCAGGUCUUGAUUGGUAGCAUCAUGGAUUUUCAUGUCGAUUUUUGUCCAUGUUAUUGAUUGAGUACACUUUAUAAAUUGGAGUGAUGAAAGUAGUCCUACUUAAAUCUGUUCAUACCAUGUUGUUCUCCUACAUGCUGGCUGGCCUCACUGGAACAGUGUAUGUUUUAUCUGUGCUGACUAAGGUCAAUUGUGAUUCUCUACAACAUUGUGAUCCAUUAAUGUGCUUCAGUCAUUGUUAUUAUGUAAUGUCAUUACAUUUCCUGUGAUACAAUUUGUAUAGUGAUAUUUCUAUUGACUGUAAUUAUGUAUCAUGUUUAUGUAUAUCUUUGUGACAGAAAUGAUUAAAUCAAAUGAUUUUUU